RNAcentral lists this unclassified non-coding RNA (462 nucleotides) under Hevea brasiliensis (rubber tree). The record is from RNAcentral. Lineage: Eukaryota; Viridiplantae; Streptophyta; Magnoliopsida; Malpighiales; Euphorbiaceae.
GGCAUAUUUCAUUUAGCGAAGAAGUUGUUAUACAUAAUAGUAGCAAAUAUCUUCAACUCUCCGACAGUCAUGAAUCUCAGCUUUUAUUAUAUAAUUGCAAAAACCAAUCAAUCAAAUUCACCACAUUGCUCUCAGUUCAUAAACAAUUUGCAAAAAAUAUCAAAUUGACGCUGGCAGCACUCUCUGAUUCAAUAUCACAUUGUAGCUAUUACCCAUUUGCCUUUGCAGCUCUUCCCGAUAAUUUUGAAGCUGUUUCUGAUUAAUAACCCCUGAAAUCCCAAACCAGCGAGGAUCGCCUCGGAUACACGUGUUGGGGACCUGCUUGGAUUGCAAUUCAGCUUUCAGAAUUCCCCCCCUGUGAUUGUGCUUCGAUUUCGUGUUGUACAUCUUUAGAUGGCGCACGGUGGAGGCACUGUGCUUAGAGCACCUAUUUUUUCUUUUUGUUUUUGCAGUUUAUGUUUA